Molecule: ribosomal RNA, 503 nt
Filed under: uncultured bacterium
Lineage: Bacteria
Description: partial 16S ribosomal RNA
Rfam family: Bacterial small subunit ribosomal RNA
Source: RNAcentral
AUUGAACGCUGGCGGCAGGCUUAACACAUGCAAGUCGAGCGGGGUGAUGGUGCUUGCACUAUCACUUAGCGGCGGACGGGUGAGUAAUGCUUAGGAAUCUGCCUAUUAGUGGGGGACAACAUCUCGAAAGGAAUGCUAAUACCGCAUACGUCCUACGGGAGAAAGCAGGGGAUCACUUGUGACCUUGCGCUAAUAGAUGAGCCUAAGUCGGAUUAGCUAGUUGGUGGGGUAAAGGCCUACCAAGGCGACGAUCUGUAGCGGGUCUGAGAGGAUGAUCCGCCACACUGGGGCUGAGACACGGCCCAGACUCCUACGGGAGGCAGCAGUGGGGAAUAUUGGACAAUGGGGGGAACCCUGAUCCAGCCAUGCCGCGUGUGUGAAGAAGGCCUUAUGGUUGUAAAGCACUUUAAGCGAGGAGGAGGUUCUUUUGGUUAAUACCCAAGAUGAGUGGACGUUACUCGCAGAAUAAGCACCGGCUAACUCUGUGCCAGCAGCCGCCGUAA